GAUGAACGCUGGCGGCGUGCCUAAUACAUGCCAGUCGAGCGAACAGACGAGGAGCUUGCUCCUCUGACGUUAGCGGCGGACGGGUGAGUAACACGUGGAUAACCUACCUAUAAGACUGGGAUAACUUCGGGAAACCGGAGCUAAUACCGGAUAAUAUAUUGAACCGCAUGGUUCAAUAGUGAAAGACGGUUUUGCUGUCACUUAUAGAUGGAUCCGCGCCGCAUUAGCUAGUUGGUAAGGUAACGGCUUACCAAGGCGACGAUGCGUAGCCGACCUGAGAGGGUGAUCGGCCACCCUGGAACUGAGACACGGUCCAGACUCCUACGGGAGGCAGCAGUAGGGAAUCUUCCGCAAUGGGCGAAAGCCUGACGGAGCAACGCCGCGUGAGUGAUGAAGGUCUUCGGAUCGUAAAACUCUGUUAUUAGGGAAGAACAAAUGUGUAAGUAACUAUGCACGUCUUGACGGUACCUAAUCAGAAAGCCACGGCUAACUACGUG
RNAcentral lists this ribosomal RNA (497 nucleotides) under uncultured bacterium. Its description in RNAcentral is "partial 16S ribosomal RNA". It matches the Rfam family "Bacterial small subunit ribosomal RNA", at positions 28 to 507 of the family's 1533-position model. The record is from RNAcentral.